RNA transcript from Ooceraea biroi (clonal raider ant), 3215 nucleotides. It is a transcript of the gene named Son RNA binding protein, with no coding region annotated. The record is from RefSeq and is a predicted model, not a curated record. NCBI's taxonomy places the organism in Eukaryota, Metazoa, Arthropoda, Insecta, Hymenoptera, Formicidae.
ACGAUGCAACUUUCUCGCUCCAACUGCUAUCAGCCAAUCGCACCUCCUAUCUUAUAGCAGUAGUGGUGGUAGUAGUCGGCAUUUAAUAUGUGAUGUGAUAAUAUACGAAUGCUUGGGCUAUGCACUUUGAGUUUGUACGGGUCUAGAGGUUAAGAUCGAUUGUAAUCAAUUAUUUACGUGAACGCGAUGUUGUUUUGAGGUCGUCAAGGCCUAUAGCAUUUCCUUUUCUCGAGUUAGAUUAGAAUUGUCGUUUGAGGUACGCGAUGACAGAUCUGUUCGAUAUCGCCAAUUUGAUUACGACCGUUGGUAUCGACGGCGUGAAGAUUAAAUCGGAGCCUGGGUUGCCUGGGAAGUCCUCCAAUGAGAUUCUAACGGAGCUCUUCAGCACGUUUGACGCGACGGAUGACGGUGUUGCGUCGCCGGAGAACAACAGUCAGCAGGUUCCGAAUGGCGACGUCGAAGAUACCAAGUUGGAGAAGGUUCAAACAAAGAAGAAAAAGAUCAAGAAAAAACAUAAACACAAGGAGAAAAAACACAAGAAAAAGUCAAGACACAACUCCUCGGACAGUAACAGUGAUGUGGAAGGUGUCAAGAAGAAAAAGAAACACAAGAAGAAAUCUAAACGGAGGCGUGAGUCCGUUUCGAGUGUAUCAUCAGAUUCGGGUUGUACCAGAGCUAAAACGACAAAAUUAAACGAUGAUCUUGAGAGUAUAAAACUCGAUGUGUCAGACAAGGCUGAUAUGGAUAAUGUGGCAAAAGGGGACAAUUAUCCAGAUCUAGACACAACGGAGAAAAUUACAGAUGAUCCUGGUAGUCCGCAAUUACCGUCUUUAGUAAAGAAGAUGGAUGAUGAGUCCGAUGAGCCAGUAAUACCCAAACUUCUUGAGAAACCAAAGCAGCCUACUCAAGGAAAAAUAUUGAUAAAGGAUCUCAAGAACAGUACUGUUUAUAAUGAAACGGUUAAAGCGAUAGAAAAUAAACAGAAAGCGAAAGCUGCGAAAAUGGAAGAUGGCGAGCUCUCUGACAGCAGCGACGAUAAUAGAACGCCUACUUUAAGUCCUACUCCUCCUCGAGAUAGUUCACCGUCGUUUAGUUCAAGCAGGGAUAGAAUCCGGAACAUUUUUAGUCCAACAAGCGAAUCGAUUCCUUCAAAAACUGAUCUUCGAUUAGUAUUGAGAGAAAAAGAGAAGAAAAGGAGCACGCGAGACAAGAACAGUGCAAGAAGUAGAAGUUGUCAUUCGCAAGACAGGAGGCGAUCGAGAUCACGAACGCGAUACAGUUCGCAUCGUAGUAGGAGUGGCGGAAGAGAAAAACAAAGGGAAAGGAGCAGGGAGAGGCGCGACCGAGCCAGGAGCAAUGAAAGAAGAGACUCUGGCAGGAAUCGAGAAAGUCGCCGACACAGAAGUCGCAGUGAAAAUAGAAACAGGGAUAAACAUGUGCGAGGUCGAAGCAGAAGCAAAGAGAGAAAAGAGCGGAUAGAGAUUGAUAAGAAAAAGCUUUUGGAAAUUGCAAGAAGGAAUGCUAUAAAUAUGAUAAAGCAAGGUACUCUACCACUGGCGCAACAAGAUAAAGCCAUCGCUGCUAUACAGUCCGGUGGAAAAACGGUGGACGAGCUCACAGAUUUUUGUAAAUCGUUAUCAAAGUCUGAAGCAUUGGGCGAGCUGUCUAGUAUUUCGUCCGAGGGUGAAGAGAGCGAAUCUGAGAAAGGAUUCCAUCAUCCUUUCCUCCUAAAAGAAAGGCCUAGUUCUAUUAUAAUGAAUAUUAGGGACGCAAAACAGUUGCCAACAAAAACGUUCCAAGAGAAGACAGCCGAGACGUCAAAUCAACUACGGUUGCAGUUCCCCGUUUCCAGUGGUCAGCACCACAGGAGGAGCGAAAACGAAUGGGUGCCGGUCACACCGAAGAAACCGGAGCCGAAAAAGAUAUUCGUGCCAGCUUCUACGAGCGAGCCACCCGCAAUAAUGCCGCCACCUGCUGUGUCGGAACAGCCACCUGUGCUACCCGCGCAAAUUGUUUUCCCGCCGGUCACAGAGACUGUGGAUAUUGGCUCCAUAGUGUCCGAGAGGCUGGCGGCUAUGAGGAAAUUAAGGGAGAAUCCAAAUGACGUAAGCGCUCUGAAUGCAAUGCAUCGAGCACAGAAUGAGAUGAAAACUUGGGCUGAAAGUAAGCAAAUACCAGGUCAGUUUACUGGUAGUACAGGAGUUCGAGUGCUCACACCAGCAGAACUGUCUUCAGGUUAUCAAGCCUGGGCGCGUAAGGUAAAAUUAUUAUUACACAUUCUACUCGUUUCACUUAUUUCUGAAUCAAUCACAUCAAAAUCCUUGAAUGCAAGAUGCAUUUCUAAAUCAAAACAUCCGUUAUAUUGCAAAAUUCAAAAUUUCUCUCAUCUUUCGAACACAAUGCUUAAUAAGAUGUUUAACUCUGAAAUCUAUGAUUUCUCGUUAGAAAAUAACAUUUUUCAUAAAUAAAUGCAUCUUCGCAUACAUCCAUCGAAGUUCCUCUUUCUUUGAAACAAUGAGAUAAAGGUCCAAAUAUAUCUCGUAGUAAUAAUAAUAUAAUAUUUACGUCACGAUGUCGAGCAGUACGCCACUUUGCUAAAAUUUGGACCUGGCAUUGUUUAGCGAUAUGUAAUACAUCGUUGACACAUUGAUAUUGCCUGUAACAAGUUUUCAGGUACGGUCUCUGCUAGGAUUAAUAUAAAAUUGAUUUUAGUAGAGACUGUGUUGUAGGCACAGACUAUUUCUUGUGUAGAGGUGGAUUCUGUGCCUGCGCGGACACAGGAGCGCUGUUAUUUCACCGCAAAUCGCUAAAUCCGCAAAAAUAUGAUUUUUAGAAUUUAUUCUGCAAGAAACUUCCUACUGUAGGAUUUCACCAGAAGCCAGUAUAUUGCCUUUUAAUCGUAAAGCUGGGAUAUUUAGCAUUAGUCUGCAUCCACCUGAGGGUUUGUUACAGGCACAUAGCUACGUCAGUCAAGAAACAACUUCGGCAGCCUGAUGCAGAGUUUGUUAUCUGUCCGGUAAGUAUUCUCACCCAAGUUGUACUAACAGAUUAUUAACAUUACGUUAUUCCCAGGUAUUCUCUUAGAUUGUAAUUAAAAACAAAAUUAAAAUCAAGCAUAUCUAUCUUACUAAGCUCUAUUUAUUUCAAAUCUGUCGGUGUCCCUCUAACGUACAAAUCUUUUGUAGCAGUUACACAUAUAUCGACUACAAAAAAAA